UACGUAGGGUGCGAGCGUUGUCCGGAAUUAUUGGGCGUAAAGAGCUCGUAGGCGGUUUGUCGCGUCUGCUGUGAAAACUCGGGGCUUAACCCCGGGCCUGCAGUGGGUACGGGCAGACUAGAGUGCGGUAGGGGAGACUGGAAUUCCUGGUGUAGCGGUGAAAUGCGCAGAUAUCAGGAGGAACACCGGUGGCGAAGGCGGUUCUCUGGGCCUGUACUGACGCUGAGGAACGAAAGCGUGGGGAGCGAACAGG
This 253-nucleotide ribosomal RNA is filed under the name uncultured bacterium. Its description in RNAcentral is "partial 16S ribosomal RNA". It matches the Rfam family "Bacterial small subunit ribosomal RNA", at positions 524 to 776 of the family's 1533-position model. The record is from RNAcentral.